Molecule: signal recognition particle RNA, 302 nt
Filed under: Octodon degus (degu)
Lineage: Eukaryota; Metazoa; Chordata; Mammalia; Rodentia; Octodontidae
Description: Metazoan signal recognition particle RNA (ENSODEG00000025881.1)
Rfam family: Metazoan signal recognition particle RNA
About the family: The signal recognition particle (SRP) is a universally conserved ribonucleoprotein. It is involved in the co-translational targeting of proteins to membranes. The eukaryotic SRP consists of a 300-nucleotide 7S RNA and six proteins: SRPs 72, 68, 54, 19, 14, and 9.
Source: RNAcentral
GUCGGGUCAAAUGGAGCGUGCGCCUGUAGUCCCAGCUACUCCAGAGGCUGAGGUGGGAGGAUCGCUUGAGUCCACGAGUUCUGGGCUGUAGUGCGCUAUGCUGAUCGGGUGUCCGCACUAAGUUUGGCAUCAAUAUGGUGACCUCCCGGGAGCGGGGGAUCACCAGGUUGCCUAAGGAGGGGUGAACCAGCCCAGGUCGGAAACGGGGCAGGUCAAAACUCCCAUGUUAUUUUUUGUUUUGGCAUUGCACUUUUAGAAAAUUUUAAAAAUUGAAAAUGUAAAAAAAGUUUUAAAACAUGUCA